RNAcentral lists this ribosomal RNA (752 nucleotides) under uncultured bacterium. RNAcentral describes it as "bacterial SSU rRNA". It matches the Rfam family "Bacterial small subunit ribosomal RNA", at positions 8 to 796 of the family's 1533-position model. The record is from RNAcentral.
AGAGUUUGAUCCUGGCUCAGAAUCAACGCUGGCGGCGCGCUUAACACAUGCAAGUCGCACGAGAAAGGGAGCAAUCCUGAGUAAAGUGGCGUACGGGUGAGUAACACGUGGAUCAUCUACCUUUUAGUGGGGAAUACCCCCGGGAAACUGGGGACAAUACCGCAUAAGCUCGUGAGAGGAAAGCAGCGAUGCGCUGAAAGAGGAGUCCGCGGCUGAUUAGCUAGUUGGUGAGGUAACGGCCCACCAAGGCGAAGAUCGGUAGCCGGCCUGAGAGGGCACACGGCCACACUGGCACUGAAACACGGGCCAGACUCCUACGGGAGGCAGCAGUGGGGAAUCUUGCACAAUGGAGGAAACUCUGAUGCAGCGACGCCGCGUGAGCGAUGAAGCCCUUCGGGGUGUAAAGCUCUUUCGACGGGAACGAUAAUGACGGUACCCGAAGAAGAAGCUGCGGCUAACUACGUGCCAGCAGCCGCGGUAAUACGUAGGCAGCAAGCGUUGUUCGGAAUUACUGGGCGUAAAGAGUGUGUAGGCGGUGCACUAAGUCUGUCGUGAAAUCUCCCGGCUUAACUGGGAGGGUGCGGCGGAAACUGGUGUGCUUGAGGAUGGGAGAGGUAAGCGGAAUUCCUGGUGUAGCGGUGAAAUGCGUAGAUAUCAGGAGGAACACCUGGUGUAGACAGCUUACUGGACCAUUUCUGACGCUGAGACACGAAAGCGUGGGUAGCAANNAGGAUUAGAUACCCUAGUAGUCC